CUCGUAGGCGGUUCGUCGCGUCCGGUGUGAAAGUCCAUCGCCUAACGGUGGAUCUGCGCCGGGUACGGGCGGGCUGGAGUGCGGUAAGGGAGACUGGAAUUCCCGGUGUAACGGUGGAAUGUGUAGAUAUCGGGAAGAACACCAAUGGCGAAGGCAGGUCUCUGGGCCGUUACUGACGCUGAGGAGCGAAAGCGUGGGGAGCGAACA
This 207-nucleotide ribosomal RNA is filed under the name uncultured bacterium. RNAcentral describes it as "partial 16S ribosomal RNA". It matches the Rfam family "Bacterial small subunit ribosomal RNA", at positions 568 to 774 of the family's 1533-position model. The record is from RNAcentral.